Molecule: long non-coding RNA, 562 nt
Filed under: Amphibalanus amphitrite
Lineage: Eukaryota; Metazoa; Arthropoda; Thecostraca; Balanomorpha; Balanidae
Description: uncharacterized LOC122373387, transcript variant X2
Source: RNAcentral
UUUUCUAGCAAACUUUUUCUUGUAAAAAAGUUUGCAAAUUUUAAACUCAAAAUUCAUGCCCGAAGGUUUCGUGAAAUCCAAAUUUCAAAUCUCCGGGUUCAAACACAAGAAAACCGUCGCCGCCAGAUGAACACGCAAUCUCACCUUUGUGAGGUACAAACUUGAGGGCGUGAGAGAAUAUUCAGAAGCGCGAGCCGCCCUUGGGGCCGUCUCCGAUGAACUCGUGACCCAGGCCGUUACCGCACUUUCCGCACAGCACCUGUGAGUGGGCGGACAGAGGUCGGCUCAGGUCAGAGGAAGGCCGCGGUGAUGAUUGGAACUACCGACACCACCGGACAGACAGACGGACGGAACAGACUCGGCCACCGGCGGAAGUACCAACUCGACAAGAAGCGCAUGCUUAUCAUUAAUCCACAUUCAAAUUCAUGCUGAAUAAACCGAGCGACAGCUAGUCAACAAGGUUGAUUACCUACCAAUUUAUCAAAACUGCGAUACUCGAAGUCACUAUUUAUUCAGAAGAUUUACAACUAAAUGUCCAUGCAAUAUAAUUUUCAUGAUCGUU